CGGGACACGUGGUAUCCUGUCUGAAUAUGGGGGGACCAUCCUCCAAGGCUAAAUACUCCUGACUGACCGAUAGUGAACCAGUACCGUGAGGGAAAGGCGAAAAGAACCCCGGCGAGGGGAGUGAAAAAGAACCUGAAACCGUGUACGUACAAGCAGUGGGAGCACAGGUUUACCUGUGUGACUGCGUACCUUUUGUAUAAUGGGUCAGCGACUUAUAUUCUGUAGCAAGGUUAACCGAAUAGGGGAGCCGGAGGGAAACCGAGUCUUAAUUGGGCGUUAAGUUGCAGGGUAUAGACCCGAAACCCGGUGAUCUAGCCAUGGGCAGGUUGAAGGUUGGGUAACACUAACUGGAGGACCGAACCGACUAAUGUUGAAAAAUUAGCGGAUGACCUGUGGCUGGGGGUGAAAGGCCAAUCAAACCGGGAGAUAGCUGGUUCUCCCCGAAAGCUAUUUAGGUAGCGCCUCGUGAAUUCAUCUCCGGGGGUAGAGCACUGUUUCGGCUAGGGGGCCAUCCCGGCUUACCAACCCGAUGCAAACUGCGAAUACCGGAGAAUGUUAUCACGGGAGACACACGGCGGGUGCUAACGUCCGUCGUGAAGAGGGAAACAACCCAGACCGCCAGCUAAGGUCCCAAAGUCAUGGUUAAGUGGGAAACGAUGUGGGAAGGCCCAGACAGCCAGGAUGUUGGCUUAGAAGCAGCCAUCAUUUAAAGAAAGCGUAAUAGCUCACUGGUCGAGUCGGCCUGCGCGGAAGAUGUAACGGGGCUAAACCAUGCACCGAAGCUGCGGCAGCGACACUGUGUGUUGUUGGGUAGGGGAGCGUUCUGUAAGCCUGUGAAGGUGUGUCGUGAGGCAUGCUGGAGGUAUCAGAAGUGCGAAUGCUGACAUAAGUAACGAUAAAGCGGGUGAAAAGCCCGCUCGCCGGAAGACCAAGGGUUCCUGUCCAACGUUAAUCGGGGCAGGGUGAGUCGACCCCUAAGGCGAGGCCGAAAGGCGUAGUCGAUGGGAAACGGGUUAAUAUUCCCGUACUUGGUGUUACUGCGAAGGGGGGACGGAGAAGGCUAUGUUGGCCGGGCGACGGUUGUCCCGGUUUAAGCGUGUAGGUGUGUGUUCCAGGUAAAUCCGGUUCACUUUAACACUGAGGCGUGACGACGAGGCACUACGGUGCUGAAGCAACAAAUGCCCUGCUUCCAGGAAAAGCCUCUAAGCAUCAGGUAACAUCAAAUCGUACCCCAAACCGACACAGGUGGUCAGGUAGAGAAUACCAAGGCGCUUGAGAGAACUCGGGUGAAGGAACUAGGCAAAAUGGUGCCGUAACUUCGGGAGAAGGCACGCUGACACGUAGGUGAAGUGAUUUACUCAUGGAGCUGAAGUCAGUCGAAGAUACCAGCUGGCUGCAACUGUUUAUUAAAAACACAGCACUGUGCAAACACGAAAGUGGACGUAUACGGUGUGACGCCUGCCCGGUGCCGGAAGGUUAAUUGAUGGGGUCAGCGCAAGCGAAGCUCCUGAUCGAAGCCCCGGUAAACGGCGGCCGUAACUAUAACGGUCCUAAGGUAGCGAAAUUCCUUGUCGGGUAAGUUCCGACCUGCACGAAUGGCGUAAUGAUGGCCAGGCUGUCUCCACCCGAGACUCAGUGAAAUUGAACUCGCUGUGAAGAUGCAGUGUACCCGCGGCAAGACGGAAAGACCCCGUGAACCUUUACUAUAGCUUGACACUGAACAUUGAGCCUUGAUGUGUAGGAUAGGUGGGAGGCUUUGAAGUGUGGACGCCAGUCUGCAUGGAGCCGACCUUGAAAUACCACCCUUUAAUGUUUGAUGUUCUAACGUGGACCCGUUACCCGGGUUGCGGACAGUGUCUGGUGGGUAGUUUGACUGGGGCGGUCUCCUCCUAAAGAGUAACGGAGGAGCACGAAGGUUGGCUAAUCCUGGUCGGACAUCAGGAGGUUAGUGCAAUGGCAUAAGCCAGCUUGACUGCGAGCGUGACGGCGCGAGCAGGUGCGAAAGCAGGUCAUAGUGAUCCGGUGGUUCUGAAUGGAAGGGCCAUCGCUCAACGGAUAAAAGGUACUCCGGGGAUAACAGGCUGAUACCGCCCAAGAGUUCAUAUCGACGGCGGUGUUUGGCACCUCGAUGUCGGCUCAUCACAUCCUGGGGCUGAAGUAGGUCCCAAGGGUAUGGCUGUUCGCCAUUUAAAGUGGUACGCGAGCUGGGUUUAGAACGUCGUGAGACAGUUCGGUCCCUAUCUGCCGUGGGCGCUGGAGAACUGAGGGGGGCUGCUCCUAGUACGAGAGGACCGGAGUGGACGCAUCACUGGUGUUCGGGUUGUCAUGCCAAUGGCACUGCCCGGUAGCUAAAUGCGGAAGAGAUAAGUGCUGAAAGCAUCUAAGCACGAAACUUGCCCCGAG
RNAcentral lists this ribosomal RNA (2403 nucleotides) under Salmonella enterica subsp. enterica serovar Enteritidis. RNAcentral describes it as "partial 23S ribosomal RNA". It matches the Rfam family "Bacterial large subunit ribosomal RNA", at positions 418 to 2803 of the family's 2925-position model. Lineage: Bacteria; Pseudomonadati; Pseudomonadota; Gammaproteobacteria; Enterobacterales; Enterobacteriaceae. The record is from RNAcentral.